CACAGCUUUGAUCGCCACAUCACCAACCACCAACUCCUGCUUCUUGCCAUCUCGCCAUCUUAACAAUCAUGGACUGUCACCUCGCACCAUCCCACUAGCACUGGACAGUCCCAAGCGGACUGUCCCACCUGAGGAAAUGGAUCUACUUAGUCACGGGGCUCACACCACAUCAGCCCCAUCAUUGCAGCCACCCUGUGACUCAGACUGGGAUGCUUGGGGCAGAAAAGG
RNAcentral lists this long non-coding RNA (228 nucleotides) under Homo sapiens (human). RNAcentral's name for it is "HSALNT0158957". Lineage: Eukaryota; Metazoa; Chordata; Mammalia; Primates; Hominidae. The record is from RNAcentral.